CUUAGGCGUGUGACUGCGUACCUUUUGUAUAAUGGGUCAGCGACUUAUAUUCUGUAGCAAGGUUAACCGAAUAGGGGAGCCGAAGGGAAACCGAGUCUUAACUGGGCGUUAAGUUGCAGGGUAUAGACCCGAAACCCGGUGAUCUAGCCAUGGGCAGGUUGAAGGUUGGGUAACACUAACUGGAGGACCGAACCGACUAAUGUUGAAAAAUUAGCGGAUGACUUGUGGCUGGGGGUGAAAGGCCAAUCAAACCGGGAGAUAGCUGGUUCUCCCCGAAAGCUAUUUAGGUAGCGCCUCGUGAAUUCAUCUCCGGGGGUAGAGCACUGUUUCGGCAAGGGGGUCAUCCCGACUUACCAACCCGAUGCAAACUGCGAAUACCGGAGAAUGUUAUCACGGGAGACACACGGCGGGUGCUAACGUCCGUCGUGAAGAGGGAAACAACCCAGACCGCCAGCUAAGGUCCCAAAGUCAUGGUUAAGUGGGAAACGAUGUGGGAAGGCCCAGACAGCCAGGAUGUUGGCUUAGAAGCAGCCAUCAUUUAAAGAAAGCGUAAUAGCUCACUGGUCGAGUCGGCCUGCGCGGAAGAUGUAACGGGGCUAAACCAUGCACCGAAGCUGCGGCAGCGACGCUUAUGCGUUGUUGGGUAGGGGAGCGUUCUGUAAGCCUGUGAAGGUGUACUGUGAGGUAUGCUGGAGGUAUCAGAAGUGCGAAUGCUGACAUAAGUAACGAUAAAGCGGGUGAAAAGCCCGCUCGCCGGAAGACCAAGGGUUCCUGUCCAACGUUAAUCGGGGCAGGGUGAGUCGACCCCUAAGGCGAGGCCGAAAGGCGUAGUCGAUGGGAAACAGGUUAAUAUUCCUGUACUUGGUGUUACUGCGAAGGGGGGACGGAGAAGGCUAUGUUGGCCGGGCGACGGUUGUCCCGGUUUAAGCGUGUAGGCUGGUUUUCCAGGCAAAUCCGGAAAAUCAAGGCUGAGGCGUGAUGACGAGGCACUACGGUGCUGAAGCAACAAAUGCCCUGCUUCCAGGAAAAGCCUCUAAGCAUCAGGUAACAUCAAAUCGUACCCCAAACCGACACAGGUGGUCAGGUAGAGAAUACCAAGGCGCUUGAGAGAACUCGGGUGAAGGAACUAGGCAAAAUGGUGCCGUAACUUCGGGAGAAGGCACGCUGAUAUGUAGGUGAAGUCCCUCGCGGAUGGAGCUGAAAUCAGUCGAAGAUACCAGCUGGCUGCAACUGUUUAUUAAAAACACAGCACUGUGCAAACACGAAAGUGGACGUAUACGGUGUGACGCCUGCCCGGUGCCGGAAGGUUAAUUGAUGGGGUCAGCGCAAGCGAAGCUCUUGAUCGAAGCCCCGGUAAACGGCGGCCGUAACUAUAACGGUCCUAAGGUAGCGAAAUUCCUUGUCGGGUAAGUUCCGACCUGCACGAAUGGCGUAAUGAUGGCCAGGCUGUCUCCACCCGAGACUCAGUGAAAUUGAACUCGCUGUGAAGAUGCAGUGUACCCGCGGCAAGACGGAAAGACCCCGUGAACCUUUACUAUAGCUUGACACUGAACAUUGAGCCUUGAUGUGUAGGAUAGGUGGGAGGCUUUGAAGUGUGGACGCCAGUCUGCAUGGAGCCGACCUUGAAAUACCACCCUU
Molecule: ribosomal RNA, 1638 nt
Filed under: Escherichia coli
Lineage: Bacteria; Pseudomonadati; Pseudomonadota; Gammaproteobacteria; Enterobacterales; Enterobacteriaceae
Description: partial 23S ribosomal RNA
Rfam family: Bacterial large subunit ribosomal RNA
Source: RNAcentral